UACGUAGGAUGCAAGCGUUGUUCGGAAUUACUGGGCGUAAAGAGUACGUAGGCGGUUUGAUAAGUCUGCUAUUAAAGACUGGAGCUUAACUCCAGGACUGUAGUGGAAACUGUCAGACUAGAGGACAAUAAAGGAAGUCGGAAUUCCUGGUGUAGCGGUGAAAUGCGUAGAUAUCGGGAGGAACACCAGUGGCGAAGGCGACUUCCUGGCCUGUUCUUGACGCUGAGGCGCGAAAGCUAGGGGAGCAAACGGG
This 253-nucleotide ribosomal RNA is filed under the name uncultured bacterium. RNAcentral's name for it is "partial 16S ribosomal RNA". It matches the Rfam family "Bacterial small subunit ribosomal RNA", at positions 524 to 776 of the family's 1533-position model. The record is from RNAcentral.